RNAcentral lists this long non-coding RNA (1152 nucleotides) under Piliocolobus tephrosceles (Ugandan red Colobus). RNAcentral's name for it is "lncRNA (ENSPTEG00000004720.1)". The record is from RNAcentral. Lineage: Eukaryota; Metazoa; Chordata; Mammalia; Primates; Cercopithecidae.
UGCUAUGUUAACAUUAAACAGAGGUCUAUCAUAGAUAUUGCAAGACAUGAUAAGAUAUAUGGCAAUGAAAACAUCAAUUUGAAUAGAGAGAAAAGGCGUGACAAGAAUAAGGAAAGUAGUUUAGAAUUUACGUAUCCAUAUAGAUAUGAACAAAACCGCAACAUUUUUUUAAUUAUUAACAGUAGAAAUAUUAACUCACGUAAUAGUUAUAUAUAUAACAAUGAUAUUAUAUAUAUAAUAUUUAAUAAUAAAAAAUAUGAACAUGUUAAUAUACCUAAGAAAAAAAAAAAAAAAAAAAAAAAAAAAAUCAAAAGCGCUAGCGCUAGCAGAAACAAAAGUAAAAGUGAUUUAUACGACAAUAACGAUUCCAUUGAUUCGAAUAGUAGUUUAGAGAGUAACAAAACAAAUGAAGAACACAAUAAAAACCCUUUGUAUAAUAGUACUAUAUUUGAAACUAGUAAUACAAAUUUGUGUGAUGCGUUAGAAAAGAGAGAAAAAAAAAUAAAUAAAAAGAAUAGUAAUAGUAGUAAUAAUAAUGCUAAGAAUAGACGAACUAUAAAAAAAGAAAAAAAUAUAAUUUAUUCAGAUGAUGAUUCAGAUAAUCAUUAUGAACAUAUAUUUACACACAUAAAUUCGAGCUUAUAUUUUUUAAGUAUAUCUAAUACACAUAUAGAAAAAGAAACUAAUUUAUACAUCCAAAAUGAAAAAUAUAUUAAUUAUACAGAUAUAGCAUUUAGAAAAUUAAAAUUUAAUAAAAAAAUGUUUAUAAAUUUAGAUACAUAUAACUCUUGGGUUAUUAUAAAAAAAAAUAUUCUACUAAAUGAAUAUUUGAGUUUAUUAAAAAAAAAUAAUUUAGUUGAUAUAAAUGAUAUAAUCUACGAUUUGGUAAACAUGUCUGAUCAAAUAUGUAAUUGUCAUACUAUGAUAUAUAUAAAUGACGAUUUUCUAUUAAUUAAUAAUAAAACUAAAGAAAUAUUGGGUGUUAAAAAAAUUGACGAAACUGCUAAUAGUAAUAGUAGUAAUAACAACAACAACAACAUCAAUGAAAGGAGUACUAACAAUGAACAUACCGACAAUAUAAAUGAAAAAAAACAAAAAAAAAAUGUAUACAUAAACAAAAAUGAGAAAAAUAAUUGUAAUAAUAAUAGCGAA